GGUUCAUUCAAAUUUCUGCCCUAUCAACUUUCGACGGCUGGGUCUUGGCCAGCCAUGGUGACAACGGGUAACGGAGGGUUAGGGCUCGACCCCGGAGAAGGAGCCUGAGAAACGGCUACUACAUCCAAGGAAGGCAGCAGGCGCGCAAAUUACCCAAUCCCGACCGGGGAGGUAGUGACAAUAAAUACUGAUACAGGGCUCUUUUGGGUCUUGUAAUUGGAAUGAGUACAAUUUAAAUCCCUUAACGAGGAACAAUUGGAGGGCAAGUCUGGUGCCAGCAGCCGCGGUAAUUCCAGCUCCAAUAGCGUAUAUUAAAGUUGUGAGGUUAAAAAGCUCGUAGUUG
This 343-nucleotide ribosomal RNA is filed under the name uncultured fungus. Its description in RNAcentral is "SSU rRNA". It matches the Rfam family "Eukaryotic small subunit ribosomal RNA", at positions 292 to 636 of the family's 1831-position model. The record is from RNAcentral. Lineage: Eukaryota; Fungi.